ACAUUGGUGGUUCAGUGGUAGAAUUCUUGCCUUUCAUGCGGGAAACCAGGGUUCGAUUCCUGGCCAAUGCA
This 71-nucleotide transfer RNA is filed under the name Loxodonta africana (African savanna elephant). It matches the Rfam family "tRNA". From Rfam's summary of the family: Transfer RNA (tRNA) molecules are approximately 80 nucleotides in length. Their secondary structure includes four short double-helical elements and three loops (D, anti-codon, and T loops). The record is from Rfam by way of RNAcentral. Lineage: Eukaryota; Metazoa; Chordata; Mammalia; Proboscidea; Elephantidae.